ACGGCUCAGUAAUUCAGUGAUAAUCUGUUUGAUUUUCUCUCCCAUUGGAUAACCGUGGGAAAUCUAGAGCUAAUACGUGCGGUACAUUGAUGUGCUCUCGGGUAUGUCAAAGCAUUUAUUAGACUAAACCAACUAUUAUGCAUUUGCAUAGUAAGGGGAAUCUGGAUAACUUUGCUGAUCGUAUGGCCUUGUGCCGGCGACGUUUCAAUUGAGUUUCUGCCCUAUCAACUUGUUGGUAAGGUAUUGGCUUACCAAGGUUGCAACGGGUAACGGGGAAUCAGGGUUCGAUUCCGGAGAGGGAGCCUGAGAAACGGCUACCACAUCCAAGGAAGGCAACAGGCGCGCAAAUUACCCAAUCUAGACAGUAGGAGGUGGUGAAGAGAAUUACUAAAUGGUGGUCCAAUGGAUCACUUGUUUGGAAUGAACGUAACUUAAGAAAUUCGUUGAGAAACAACUGGAGGGCAAGUCCUGGUGCCAGCAGCCGCGGUAAUUCCAGCUCCAGUAGUUUGCUUUAAAGUUGUUGCGUUUAAAACGCUCGUAGUUGGAUCACGCAGCGAUAUUCAGUAAUCUAUUGCACGAUGCCGCCAUUUGUAUCCGUCACUGACGGCCAUUUGGUGGUGUCUGCUUCAGAUGCCAUGCUGAAUGUUGCUAGUUGCACGUGAGAUAGAUUGUUGGCCUUAAAUGAGCCGAUAUUCUGGUCUUGCGGGGUGUGCCUUGAAUAAAACAGAGUGCUUAAAGCAGGUUAUUGCCUGAAUGUUAUAGCAUGGAACGAACAAUCGUGUAUAUGUGUGCGUCUUUGAAUAGUUGUGAGCCUUUGGUUUAUAGUUGUUUAAGAUGCGCACGGCACCCACCAAAAUAUGGCUGUUGGUUCCAUAUACGGUGAUGAUUAACAGGAGCGGUUGGGGGCAUCGGUAUUUGGCCGCGAGAGGUGAAAUUCUUAGACCGGCCAAGGACUAACAAAUGCAAAGGCACUUGUCUAGACCGUUUCCAUUAAUCAAGAACGAAAGUGGGAGGUUCGAAGACGAUCAGAUACCGUCAUAGUUCCCACCGUAAACUAUGCCGACCUGGGAUCAGUUUAGAGAUGUUACAAGCUCUAGAUUGGUCCCCCUGGGAAACCUAAAGUUUUUCGGUUACGGGGAGAGUAUGGUCGCAAGGCUGAAACUUAAAGGAAUUGACGGAAGGGCACCACCAGGGGUGGAGCCUGCGGCUUAAUUUGACUCAACACGGGGAAACUUACCUGGUCCGGACAUCGAUAGGAUUAACAGAUCAAUAGCUCUUUUAUGAUCCGAUGAGUGGUGGUGCAUGGCCGUUCUUAGUUCGUGGAGUGAUCUGUCAGUUUAAUUACGGUAACGAACGAGACCACAGUCUCCAUUUAACAGAUAGAAGCAGACGUAUAAUACAUCGUCAGCCUGUGCUGGGGAUGGCUAAACGUUGUAGGUAAAGUAAUGCGUCCUGUGGUAAGUGUAUUGGGGAAACUUGGUGCAUUUAUCGUGGGAUGUGUUGCGUUCCCUUUUAUCACGCAGCAGUUGGUUUCGAUUGGCUGUUGUCUUAUGGAGAGACAACGAGGUAUAUACAAGCUCGAGGAAGAGUGGCUAUAACAGGUCAGUGAUGCCCUUCGAUGUUCAGGGCUGCACGCGCGCUACAAUGAUAACGACAACGAGUGUCUGCGUCGAAAGACGUGGGUAAUCUUUAAUCGUUAUCGUGAUGGGGAUUGACCGUUGUAAUUUUCGGUCAUGAAAGAGGAAUCCCUAGUAUGCGCAUUUUAAUAGAAUGUGCAGAUUGAGUCCCUGCCCUUUGUACACACCGCCCGUCGCUACUACCGAGUGAAUGGUGUCAUGAUGCGCUGGGACUGGACGUUAGAUGGGUUUUGCGAUUCGUCCGAUGCUGGGAUCAGCGUAAAAUGGCGCAAUUUCGAGGA
This 1918-nucleotide ribosomal RNA is filed under the name Myxobolus fountainae. RNAcentral describes it as "SSU rRNA". It matches the Rfam family "Eukaryotic small subunit ribosomal RNA". The record is from RNAcentral. Lineage: Eukaryota; Metazoa; Cnidaria; Myxozoa; Bivalvulida; Myxobolidae.